GAACCAUGUUCUGGCGAUGCUAGAACCGUGUUCCAGAGAUGUUGGAACCAUGUUCUAGCAAUGUUGGAACCGUGUUUUAGCAAUGCUGGAAUGGGGGUCGGUGAUGCUUAAAAGCUUUAGGACAGCGGGCAAAAUGCUGGAACCAUUACCGACAAAAGUUGCAAUAGUCGUCAGAUUUUGCUACCACCGGCAAAGGAUUCUGCUACAUGCUUCAUGGCAGAGCUGCAACCCUGCGACGGCGAUGACUUUUUUUCCACAGUCGUAGUUAUUUUUCGCUACCACUGGUGAUGUAUUUUGCCACAUCCAUUAAAUGUCGUUUAGUAUUGGCCGUCCAUAAUCCCGUGCAACUAGUGCCGACGCCGAGUGCGACCGCGGUUGUGCAUCGUGGUGUUGCAUAAUGAUGCAUCAACGGCUGGAGUUGCAGCCAGUUAGGGCGGAGUUGCAAGCGAAAUUGAUGAGCGGGGAAGUUCUUCGACAAGCAGCGGAGGGCUGCGAGUCGUCGGAGUGUGAGCGCCGACGACCGACGUCUGUUUGCCCUCGCGGAGCUGCACACGGAGGCGUAGGAGCGUGGGGUAGGGUGUGGGGAUUUUUUUCUUUGAUAUGCGAUGGGAGAUAGAGGACGAGUCAAGGAUGAAGGAGAGAGCUAGAUCGGAUGACUGAUCUAUGCCAGAUCGAACGGUUGGGGUUCGAGUGGCCGAAACUUUCAGCUAGUACUGCCCUUUCUCUAUCUAUUCUAACACACCAUGAAGCUUGGUGGAGAGUUCAUCCACUACCUCUAUAAAAGCACGAAGAGGCAGAUCCAACUCACCAUCUCACCUGCCUGAUUACGUCAUCAAUCGUCAAGAAUUAUCAUUAAAAAAUUCAUCCCAGCUAACGAAACCAAUUGAAGCCAAUCCCAUCGGCGAGGAAACCCACCCACACUUCCACGCCCGGGAACCGCUCACAAAAUCACCUCGCUUGAGAACUCAUCCAGGCCUAGCUCNNNNNNNNNNNNNNNNNNNNNNNNNNNNNNNNNNNNNNNNNNNNNNNNNNNNNNNNNNAGCCGCCGUCGCUGCCUCGCGCAACAACCACAACCAUUGCCCUCGCCUCACAUAGCGACGCGUCGCCCGUCGCUCGGCCAACCCGGACAAGCAGGACAAGGGCGCAGGGCAAGGAAAGGACAUGGGCGAUCGCAAUGAACCCUCCUUUCAUGGUAUUUAUCAUUUUUAUGCGAUGAACGCAACCUGUAGGUGCCUCCGUUCAUGAUUUGCAUAUCCAGAAUUUGUUGUCUGGCCAUCUAAGAGAAUUAGCUCACUACGCUAAGGAAUUAGGACAAUUCAGUUACAUGAUCUGACUGUUUAUAGAGGGAUCUAAAAGACUGAUGAUAUGCAAAUAUGAUCUCAAGUCUCAAAGUGCAUGUUGUUCUAUGUUCUUGGGCAUGUACAAAGGCUUAGAUAAACACCACCAAGGUUGAGGACGAAAAAGAUUGCACACACUAACCAUUAUUAUCUUCUUGUGAUAAUUUUAGGCUUGUACGAGGAAACUUGAAGAGGCAAUUUUAGUUGGUGGUGUGCUUUAAUAUUUCAUAUUGUUGUUCGUGUGUUCCUGUUGGAAAUAUGCCCUAGAGGCAAUAAUAAAGUGGUUAUUAUUAUAUUUCCUUGUUCAUGAUAAUUUUCUAUUGUUCAUGCUACAAUUGUAUUAACUGGAAACAGUAAUACAUGUGUGAAUAUAUAGACCACACCAAGUCCCUAGUGAGCCUCUAGUUGACUAGCUCGUUGAUCAAAGAUGGUUAAUGUUUCCUAACCAUAGACAAGUGUUCUCACUUGAGUUCUAGAAUGGUCUGGAAACGAAGAUUGAUAUAUAGGAAGUUGGUAGUUCGUAGUAUCAUUUCCCUAGACCAUGAGAUUGUGCAACUCCCGGAUACCGUAGGAGUGCUUUGGGUGUAUCAAGAAUCACAACGUAACUGGGUGAUUAUAAUGGUGCACUACAGGUAUCUCUGGAAGUGUAUGUUGGGUGGGCACGAAUCGAGAUUGGGAUUUGUCACUCCGUAUGAAGGAGAGGUAUCUCUGGGCCCACUGAGUAAUACAUCAUCCUAUUGAGCUCAGUGUGACUAAGGAGUUAGUCACAGGAUCAUGUGUUACGGAACGAGUAAAAAAACUUGCCUCUAACGAUAUUGAACAAGGUAUGGGGAUACCGACGAUCGGAUUUCGGGCAAGUUAUAUACCGAUAGACAAAGGGAAUUGCAUACGGGAUUGAUUGAAUCCCCGACAUCGUGGUUCAUCCGAUGAGAUCAUCGUGGAACAUGUGGGAGCCAACAUGGAUAUCCAGAUCCCGCUAUUGGUUAUUGACCGGGGAGGUGUCUCGGUCAUGUCUGCAUGGUUCCCGAACUCGUAGGGUCUACACACUUAAGGUUCGAUGACGCUAGAGUUGUAAUGAGAAUAAUAUGUGGUUAUCAAAAGUUGUUCGGAGCCCCGGAUGAGAUCCCAGACGUCCCGAGGAGCUCCGGAAUGGUCAGUAGGUAAAGAUUCAUAUAUAGGAAGUGGAGAUUAGAUCACAGGAAAUGUUUCGAGGAUCAUCGGUAUUGUACCGGGACUACCGGAAGGGUUACGGGGGUUCACCAGCCCCGGAGAGCCACGUGGGCCAAAAGUGGAAGGAAACCAACCCCUAGAUGGGCUGGUGCGUCACCCACCAAGGCCCAAGGAACCUAGGGCUAGCAACCCUAGGGCGUGGAGGUGGCCCACCUCCAACUUGGGAGGCAAGCCACCUCCCACCUGGCCACCGCCCCCUGCUUGGACCGCCGCCCCUCCUAGGGUUACCUAGGGUGGCCGGCCUGCCUUUCCCCUCCCCUAUAUAUACCCAAGGGUUUUGGGGCUGCAACACACAACUUUUCUCUCCCUCUUGGUGCAACCCUACCCUCUCUCUUUCUCCUCCUCCGCGGUGCUUGGCGAAGCCGUGCCGGAGAACCACAUAGCUACACCGCCACCACGCCGACGUGCUGUCGAAGCUCUCCAUCAACUUCCCCUCUCCCCUUGCUGGUUCAAGGUAGAGGAGACAUCAUCGGUUUGCACGUGUGUUGAACGCGGAGGCGUCGUUGUUCGGCGCUUUGGAUCACAUCUACCGCGAUUUGAAUCGCUAUGAGUACGACUCCAUCACCCGCAUUCCUAGUAACGCUUCCGCUUAGCAAUCUUCAAAGGUAUGAAGAUGCUCUACCCCUUGCUCGUUGCUAGCAUCUCCUAGAUUGAUCUUGCUGUUUCGUUGCUAGCAUCUCCUAGAUUGAUCUUGCCGCGCCCGAAGAUGGAGAUCAAAGGCGCAAGAUGAUAAUGGCCAUAUCAUGUCACUAUAUGAUUUGCAUGUGAUGUUUAUCAUGUUGUUCAUCUUAUUGCUUAGAAUGACGGUAGCAAAGAUAAGAUGAUCCCUCGUUAAAUUUCAAGAUAAGUAUUCCCCUAAGUGUGCACCGUUGUGAAGGAUCGUUGUCUUGAAGCACCAUGUGAUGGUCGGGUGUGAUAGAUUCUAACGUUCGCAUACAAUGGGUGUAAGCCAGAUUUACACACACAAAACACUUAGGUUGACUUGACGAGCCUAGCAUGUACAGGAAUGGCCUCAGAAUACGAGAGACCAAAAGGUCGAACAUGAGUCGUAUGGAUGAUACGAUCAACAUGGAGAUGUUCACCAUUGAUGACUAGUCUGUCUCACGUGAUGAUCGGACACGGGCUAGUCGACAUGGAUCAUGUAUCACUUAGAUGACUAGAGGGAUGUCAAUCUAAGUGCGAGUUCAUUAAAUAAUUUGAUUAGAUGAACUUAAUUAUCAUGAACUUAGUCUAACAAUGUCUUUACAGUAUUGUAGAUCCAAUGGCCAAUGCUCCUGUCAACCUCAAUUUCAACACGUUCCUAGAGAAAACCAAGCUGAAAGACGAUGGUAGAAACUAUGUGGACUGAGCUCGUAACUUAAAGCUCAUCCUCAUUGCUUCCAAGAAGGCAUAUGUCCUUGAUGCGUCGCUAGGUGACCCUCCCGUUCCCACGGCAGCCCAGGACGUUCAUAACGCGUGGCAGUCACGAAGUGAUGACUACUCUCUGGUUCAUUGUGGCAUGCUAUACAGUUUAGAACCGGGGCUCAAAAAACGUUUUGAGCAACCUGGAGCAUAUGACAUGUUCGAGGAGCUGAAAUUGGUUUUCCAAGAUCAUGCCCAGAUCAAGAGAUAUGAGGUCUCCGACUAGUUCCUCAGCUGUAAGAUGGAGGAAAAUAGUUCUGUCAGUGAGCACAUACCCAGAAUGUGUGGGUUGCACAACCGUCUGUCUCAGCUGGAAGUUAAUCUUCCGGAUGACGCGGUUAUUGACAGAAUCCUCCAGUCGCUUCCACAUAGCUACAAGAGGUUCGUGAUGAAUUAUAACAUGCAAGGGAUGGAAAAGAACAUUCCCGAGUUAUAUUCAAUGCUGAGAUCAGCGGAGGUGGAAAUCAAGAAGGAACAUCAAGUGUUGAUGGUGAAUAAGACCACUAGUUUAAUAAAAGGCAAGGGUAAAAAGAACUUCAAGAAGGACGGCAAAGAAGUUGCCACGCCCGGUAAAAAGGUUUCCUGGAAGAAGCGCAAGAAUGUCGCAAGCCUGAGACUGAGUGUUGUCAUUGCAAGGGAGCCAGUCACUGGAAGCGAAACUACCCCAAAUACUUAGCGGAUAAGAAGGCCGGAAAUGUCAAAGGUAUAUAUGAUGUACAUGUUAUUGAUGUGUACCUUACCAGCACUCGUAGUAGCUCCUAGGUAUUUGAUACCGGUGUUGUUGCUCACAUUUGCAACUGAAAAACAGGAACUGCAGAAUAAGCAGAGACUGGCAAAGGGCAAUGUGACGAUGCUCGUGGGAAUGGUUCCAAGGUCGAUGUGAUCGUCGUCGGCACGCUACCUCUACAUCUACCUUCGGGAUUAGUUUUAAACCUUAAUAAUUGUUAUUUAGUACUAGCUUUGAGCAUGAACAUUGUAUCUGAAUCUCGUUUGAUGCGAGAUGGCUACUCAUUUAAAUCUUAGAAUAAUGGUUGUUCUAUUUAUAUGAGUGAUAUGUUUUAUGGUCAUGUCCAUCUGGUCAAAGUUUAUUCUUAAUGAAUCUCGAACGUGAUGUUAUGCAUAUUCAUAGUGUGAGUACUAAAAGAUGCAAAAUUAAUAAUGAUAGUCCCACAUACUUGUGGCAUUGCCUCCCUGGUCAUAUCGGCGUCAAACGCAUGAAGAAACUCCAUGCUGACGGACUUUUGGAGUCUCUUGAUAAUGAAUCAUUUGACACGUGCAAGCUGUGCCUCAUGGGUAAGAUGACUAAGACUCUGUUCUCCGGAACAAUGGAGCGAGCAACCAACUUGUUGGAAAUAAUACAUAGCGAUGUAUGCGAUCCAAUGAGCGUUGAGGCUUGCGGUGGCUACCGUUAUGUUCUCACCCUCACUAAUGACUUAAGCAGAUAUGGGUAUGUCUACGUAAUGAAACACAAGUCUGAAACCUUUGAAAGGUUCAAGGAAUUUCAGAGUGAGGUUGAAAAUCAACGUGACAAGAAAAUAAAGUGCCUACGAUCUGAUCAUGGAGGAGAAUAUUUGAGUCACGAGUUUGGCACACACUUAAGAAAAUGUGGAAUUGUUUCACAACUCAUGCUGCCUGGCACACCUCAGUGUAAUGGUGUGUCUGAGCGUCGUAAUCGCACUCUAUUGGAUAUGGUGUAAUCUAUGAUGUCUAUUACUGAUUUAUCGCUAUCAUUUUGGGGAUACGCAUUGGAAACUUCCGCAUUCACUUUAAAUAGGGCACCGUCUAAAUCCGUUGAGAUGACACUGUAUGAAUUAUGCUUUGGGAAGAAACCUAAGCUGUCGUUUCUGAAAGUUUGGGGCUAUGAUGCUUAUGUGAAGAAACUUCAACGUGAGAAGCUCAAACCCAAAGCGAAAAAUGCGUCUUCAUAGGAUACCCUAAGGAAACUAUUGCGUAUACCUUCUAUCUUAGAUUCGAAGGAAAAUCUUUGUUGCCAAGAACGGAUCCUUUCUAGAGAAAGAGUUUCUCUCAAAAGAAGUAAGUGGGAGGAAAAUAGAACUUGAUGAGGUAACUGAAAUCCCUCUUGAACUAGAAAGUAGCGCAGCGUGGGAAAUUGUUCCCGUGGUGCCUGCACCGACUAGAGAGGAAGUUAAUGACGAUGAUCAUGAAACUUCGGAUCAAGUUACUACUGAACCUCUAAGGUCCACAAGGAUAUGUUCCGCACCAGAGUGGUUCGACAACCCAGUCCUAGAAAUAAUGUUGUUAGACAACGGUGAACCUUCGAACUAUGAAGAAGCAAUGGUCGGCCCGGAUUCCAACAAAUGGCUUGAAGCCAUGAAAUUCGAGAUAGGAUCCAUGUAUGAGAACAAAGUAUGGACUUUUGUGGACUUGCCCAAUGAUCAGCAAUCCACAGAAAAUAAAUGGGUCUUUAAGAAGAAUACUGACGCAGAUGGUAAUGUGACCGUCUAUAAGGCUGAGCUUGUCGCUAAGGGUUACCGACAAGUUCAAGGAGUUGACUACGAUGAGACUUUCUCACCCAUAGCGAUGUUGAAGUUCGUCCGAAUCAUGUUAGCAAUUGCCGCAUUUUAUGAUUAUGAGAUCUAGCAAAUGGACGUCAAAACGACAUUCCUUAACAGUUUCCUUAAGGAAGAAUUGUAUAUGAUGCAUCCAGAAGGUUUUGUCGAUCCUAAGAGUGCUGACAAGGUAUGCGAGCUCCAACGCUCCAUCUAUGGGCUGGUGCAAGCAUCUCAAAGUUGGAACAUUCACUUUAAUGAGGUGAUUAAAUCGUUCGGGUUUAUGCAGACUUAUUGAAAAGCCUGCAUUUACAAGAAAGUGAGUGGGAGCUCUGUAGCAUUCCUCAUUUUAUAUGUGGACGACAUAUUGCCGAUGGAAAAUGAUAUAGAACUUUUGGAAAGCGUAAAAGCCUACUUGAAUAAGUAUUUUUCAAUGAAGGACCUUGGGGAAGCUGCUUACAUAUUAGGCAUCAAGAUCUAUAUAGAUAGAUCGAGAUGCCUCAUAGGUCUUUCACAAAACACAUACCUUGACAAGAUAUUGAAGAAGUUCAAUAUGGAUAAGUCUAAGAAGGUGUUAUUGCAUGUAUAGCAAGGUAUGAGAUUGAGUAAGACUCAAUGCCCGACCAAAGCACAAGAUAGAGAAAAGAUGAGUAACAUCCCCUAUGCUUCAGUCGUAGGCUCUAUUAUGUAUGCCAUAGUGUGUACCAGACCUGAUGUGAACCUUGCCAUGAGUUUGGUAGGGAGGUACCAAAGUGAUCCUGGUAUGGAACGCUGGACAACGGUCAAUAAUAUCCUAAAGUACCUGAAAAGGACUAAAGAUAUGUUUCUCGUUUAUGGAGGUGCCGAAGAGCUCGUCGUAAAGGGUUACGCCGAUGAUAGCUUCGACAGAGAUCCGGAUGACUCCAAGUCACAAAUCGGAUACGUGUAUGUUUUGAAUGGUGGGGUAGUCAGCUGGUGCACUUUUAAGCAAGGCGUCGUGGCGGCAUCUACAUGUGAAGCAGAGUACAUAGCUGCUGCAGAAGCAGCGCAUGAAGGGAUCUGGAUGAAGGACUUCAUCACUGACCUAGGAGUAAUUCCCAGUGCGUCGGGCCCGAUGACUCUCUUGUGUGAUAACACUGGAGCUAUUGUCAUAGCCAAGGAGCCCAAGCACAUCAAGCGCUGCUUCAACUCCAUCCGUGAUUACAUUCAGGAAGGAGAUAUAGAUAUUUGUAAAGUACAUGCAGAUCUGAAUGUUGUAGAUCUUUUGAGUAAACCUCUUCCGCGAGCGAAACAUGAUCAACACCAGAACUCUACGGGUGUUCGUUUCAUCACAAUGUAACUAGAUUAUUGACUCCAGUGCAAGUGGGGGACUGUUGGAAAUAUGCCCUAGAGGCAAUAAUAAAGUGGUUAUUAUUAUAUUUCCUUGUUCAUAAUAAUUGUCUAUUGUUCAUGCUACAAUUGUAUUAAGAGGAAACAGUAAUACAUGUGUGAAUAUAUAGACCACACCAAGUCCCUAGUGAGCCUCUAGUUGACUAGAUGGUGGAUCAAUAGAUGGUCAUGGUUUCCUGCUCAUGGACAUUGGAUGUCAUUGAUAAUGGGAUCACAUCAUUAGGAGAAUGAUGUGAUGGACAAGACACAAUCCUAAGCAUAGCACAAGAUCGUGUAGUUUGUCUCCUAAAGCUUUUCUAAUGUCAAUUAUCAUUUCCUUAGACCAUGAGAUUGUGCAACUCCCAGAUACCGUAGGAGUGCUUUGGGUGUAUCAAAAGUCACAACGUAACUGGGUGAUUAUAAAGGUGCACUACAGGUAUCUCCGAAAGUGUCUGUUGGGUGGGCACGAAUCGAGACUGGGAUUUGUGACUCCGUAUGACGGAGAGGUAUCUCUGGGAUCACUCGGUAAUACACCAUCCUGUUGAGCUCAAUGUGACUAAGGAGUUAGUCACACGAUCAUGUGUUACAGAACGAGUAAAAGACUUGCGAGUAACGAUAUUGAACAAGGUAUGAGGAUACCGACGAUAGGGUCUCGGGCAAGUUAUAUACCGAUAGACAAAGGGAAUUGCAUACGGGAUUGAUUGAAUCCCCGACAUCGUGGUUCAUCCGAUGAGAUCAUCGUGGAACAUGUGGGAGACAAUAUGGAUAUCCAGAUCCCCCUGUUGGUUAUUAACCGGAGAGGUGUCUCGGUCAUGUCUGCAUGGUUCCCGAACCCGUAGGGUCUACACACUUAAGGUUCGAUGACGCUAGAAUUGUAAUGAGAAUAGUAUGUGGUUACCGAAAGUUGUUCAGAGUCCCGGGUGAGAUCCCGGAUGUCACGAGGAGCUCCGGAAUGGUCCGGAGGUAAAGAUUCAUAUAUAGGAAGUGGAUAUUAGAUCACCGGAAAUGUUUCAAGGAUCAUCUGUAUUGUACUGGGACCACCAUAAGGGUUUCGAGGGUCCACCGGGAGGGGCCACCAGCCCCGGAGAGCCACGUAGGCCAAAAGUGGAAGGGAACCAGCCGCUAGAUGGGUUGGUGCGCCACCCACCAAGGCCCAAGGCGCCUAGGGCUGGUUACCCUAGGGCGUGGAGGUGGCCCACCUCCAACUUGGGAGGCAAGCCACCUCCCACCUGGCAACCGUCCCCUGCUUGGGCCACCGCCCCUCCCAUAUGGGUGGCCGCCGCCCCUCCUAGGGUUUCCUAGGGUGGCCGGCCUGCCCUUCCCCUCCUCCUAUAUAUAUCCAAUGGUUUUGGGGCUGCAACAUGCAAGUUUUCACUCCCUCUCGGCGCAGCCCUACCCUCUCUCUCCAUCCUCCUCCGCGGUGCUUGGCGAAGCCCUGUCGGAGAACCACAUAGCUCCACCGCCACCACACCGUCGUGCUGCCGGAGCUCUCCACCAACUUCCCCUCUCCGCUUUCUGGUUCAAGGUAGACGAGACGUCACCGGGAUGCACGUGUGUUGAACAUGGAGGCACCGUUUGUCGGCCCUUUGGAUCACAUCUACUGCGAUCUGAAUCGCUACGAGUACGACUCCAUCACCCGCGUUCAUAGUAACGCUUCCGCUUAGCAAUCUUCAAAAGUAUGAAGAUCAUCUACCCCUUGCUCGUUGCUAGCAUUUCCUAGAUUGAUCUUGGUGUUUCGUAGGAAUUUUUUUGAAUUUCUCCCUCGAGCCCCAACAGUUCCUCCAUCAUCGUGUCUUCUUCUAUUAGUUUGAAUUUUCUAGCGCAUGAACUACCAAGUGAAUUUUCCUAGCUCCGAUGGUUGCGCCACUGAGGAUGCUAUCAGCGAAAAUAAAGGCAAUUUGUACUGGGACGUCUUGGCCGAGCUGCAGGACCUCCGCCUCGACGAGCUGUAGAAUCUCCACCUCGCUCUGGUUUUUGUGGUACGGGCCCUUCCCCACUCCAUCAAAUAGUGACUUAUAUUUUGUUCUGCUUUGUUCUUAGACAAGUGUGGUAAAUUGUAUGGUAAAGUGUGGCAUCUACUACCCCUAUAAAGCACGAAGAGACAGAUCCAAAUCCUCAACUCAGCCAUUUGAUUACAUCAUCAAUGAUCAAAAAUCAUUGUUAACGAAAUUCAUCCCAUCGCUAACGAAGAUAAUCCCAUCGCUGAGGAAACCCACCCCCACUUCAAUGCUCAAGAACCGCUCGCAAACUCAGCCACGCCGCCCGACCUCCCCACCCCCGAUGGUCGCUCGCCUCGUCCAGCCACCGGCCCCGCUCGGCCCACUUGCCCCCACUCGUCGCUCGCCUCGCGCCGUCGCCCUUGUCUCACACAGCCUCGUGCAGUCGCCGCCCCCGCCUCGUGCAGCCACCGCCACCACCUUGCGCAGCCUCACGCCGUCCUCUCUGCUCACCCGGACAAGCGGGACAAGGGCACCGUUCAAGGAGAGGACAGGGGCGAUCGCGGUGAACCCUCCGUUCAUGGUACUGUAACGUCCAAGAUGUGGCACUAUCCAUAUUUGGGGAUUAGGUCUUAAUAUGGAUAGAGGCACAUCUUAGCGUUUCGCAAGUACAUAAAUCACCGCAAUACAUUUAUGAAGAGAAGAGUAUAUUGAUUAGCUUACACUCGCCACAAGUUAAGUUACAAGCCACACAACAUUAGUUCAAUCAUCCUAAGACCGGGUCCGGCUACAGACAAGAUAAAUGAUAAAAUGCAAUGACUCUGCCUCGUUAGUCUAGGAAACGAGCAAGGUCCUCUAAUCAUCGGGGUACAUUACGUACAAGCGCCCACUGCCUUCAUCGAAAUCCCAUUGAAGAUCGAUAACCCACAAGUAUAGGGGAUCGCAACAGUUUUCGAGGGUAGAGUAUUCAACCCAAAUUUAUUGAUUCAACUCAAGGGGAAGCGAAAGAAUAUUCUCAAGUAUUAGCAGUUGAGCUGUCAAUUCAACGACACCUAAAAGAUUUAGUAUCAGUAGCAAAGUAGGGUGAUAGCAGCAGUAGCAACAGUAACCAGUAGCAGCAAAGUAACAACAGUAGGAACAGAGUAACAACAGCAGCAGUCACAGCAGUAGCGGCAAAGUAACGUAGCAAGGACCAGUAGAAAAAGACUCGUAGGCAUUGGAUCAGUGAUGGAUGAUUAUGCCGGAUGUGAUUGAUCAUGCAACAGUUAUAACACGGAGAGAUAAGUAAAUAGCUCCAGUUCGUCAAUCUAAUGUAGGCAUGUAUUCCGCAUGUAGUCAUACGUGCUUAGGGAAAAUAACUUGCAUGACAUCUAUUGUCCAUCCCUCCCAUGGCAGCGGGGUCCUAAUGGAAACUACAGGAUAUUAAGGUUCUCCUUUGAAUAAAGAACCGGACCAAUGCAUUAACACUUGGUGAAUACAUGAACUCCUCAUACUAUGGUCAUCUCCGGGAGUGGUUCCGGCUAUUGUCACUCCGGGGUUGCAGGGUCAUAACACAUAGUAGGUGACUACAACUUGCAAGAUAGGAUCUAAAACACACAUAUAUUGGCGACAACAUAAUAGGUUCAGAUCUGAAAUCAUGGCACUCGAGCCCUAGUGACAAGCAUUAAGCAUGGCAAAGUAGUAGCAACAUCAAUCUCAGAACAUAGUGGAUACUAGGGAUCAAUUCCCGUCAAAACUAACUCGAUUACAUGAUAGAUCUCAUCCAACCCAUCACCGUCUAGAAAGCCUACGAAUAGAUUACUCACGAACGGUGAAGAGCAUCAUGGAAUUGGCGAUGAAGGAAGGUUGGUGAUGACGAUGGCGUCAAAGUUUGUUUUCUUGUGCUAAUGAUAUCACGAGUUUCUGUUUAAGUUUUGUGUUGUGAAGUUUUCAAGUUUUGGGUGAUGAUCUCAUGGACAAAGGGAUAAAGAGUGGAAAGAGCUCAAGCUUGGGGAUGCCCAAGGCAUCCCAAGCCAAAUUCAAGGACACCAAAAAGCCUAAGCUGGGGGAUGCCCCGGGAAGACAUCCCCUCUUUCGUCUCCAAUCCAUCGGUAAUAUUACUUGGAGCUAUAUUUUUAUUCACCACAUGAUAUGUGUUUUGCUUGGAGCGUCUUGUAUCAUAGGAGUCCUUUAUUUUUGUUGUGUCACAAUCAUCCUUGCUGCACACCUUUUGAGAGAGACAUGCACUCAUCGUGAAUUUUCUAGAAUACUCAUUGAGCUUCGCUUAUAUCUUUUGAGUUAGGCAAUUUAGCUCAUUGUGCUUCACUUAUAUCUUUUGAUCUAGAUAACUUUUCUCUUUGUGCUUCACUUAGAUCUUUUAGAGCACGGCGGUGUCAUAUUUUGGAGAAAUAAGAACUCUCGAUCUUCACUUAUAUCUUUUUGAGAGUGCUCUCUCUGAGUAACUUGGUAGUUGGCUUGUGUUAUGAAAGUAGUCCGAAAGAUGAUAGGCGCCCAAAGAGGAUACAAUAAAACUUCCAUAUUCAUGUGCAUUGAUUAGAAAGAGAAGUUUGAUUCCUCUCAAAUAGUUUUGAGACAUGGAUUUGGUAAUAUUAAGAGUUAUGCUAGUAGGGUGUUGUGAAUCUAGAAAUACUUGUGUUGAAGUUAGUGAUUCCCGUAACAUGCACGUAUGGUGGACCGCUAUGUUAGGAAGUCGGAGCAUAUUUGAUUUAUUGAUUGUCAUCCUUUGUGUUGCGGUCGGGAUUGCGCGAUGGUUAACACCUACCAACCCUUCCCCUAGGAGUAUGCGUUUAGCACUUUGUUUCGAUUACUAAUAAAAACUUUCGCAAUAAGUAUGUGAGUUCUUCAUGACUAAUGUGAGUCCAUGGUAUAGAUACACUUUCACCUUCCACCAUUGCUAGCCUCUCUAGUGCCGUGCAACUUUCGUCGGUACACAAAACCACAAUAUGCCUUCCUCAAAACAACCACCAUACCUACCUACUAUGGCAUUUUCAUAGCCAUUCCGAGAUAUAUUGCCAUGCAACUCCCACCGUUCGGUCUCAUGACUUGUGUCGUNNNNNNNNNNNNNNNNNNNNNNNNNNNNNNNNNNNNNNNNNNNNNNNNNNNNNNNNNNNNNNNNNNNNNNNNNNNNNNNNNNNNNNNNNNNNNNNNNNNNGUGAUCUCAUCCGGGACUCCGAACAACAUUCGGUAACCAACCAUAUAACUCAAAUACGCAUAAAACAACGUCGAACCUUAAGUGUGCAGACCCUGCGGGUUCGAGAACUAUGUAGACAUGACCCGAGUGACUCCUCGGUCAAUAUCCAAUAGCGGGACCUGGAUGCCCAUAUUGGAUCCUACAUAUUCUACGAAGAUCUUAUCGUUUGAACUUCAGUGCCAAGGAUUCAUAUAAUCCCGUAUGUCAUUCCCUUUGUCCUUCGGUAUGUUACUUGCCCGAGAUUCGAUCGUCAGUAUCCGCAUACCUAUUUCAAUCUCGUUUANCCGGCAAGUCUCUUUACUCAUUCCGUAAUACAAGAUCCCGCAACUUACACUAAGUCACAUUGCUUGCAAGGCUUGUGUGUGAUGUUGUAUUACCGAGUGGGCCCCGAGAUGCCUCUCCGUCACACGGAGUGACAAAUUCCAGUCUCGAUCCAUACUAACUCAACGAACACCUUCGAAGAUACCUGUAGAGCAUCUUUAUAGUCACCCAGUUACGUUGCGACGUUUGAUACACACAAAGCAUUCCUCNNNNNNNNNNNNNNNNNNNNNNNNNNNNNNNNNNNNNNNNNNNNNNNNNNNNNNNNNNNNNNNNNNNNNNNNNNNNNNNNNNNNNNNNNNNNNNNNNNNNACGGUGCCCUAUUUAAAGUGAAUGCUGCAGUUUCUAAUGCGUAUCCCCAAAAUGAUAGCGGUAAGUCGGUAAGAGACAUCAUAGAUCGUACCAUAUCUAAUAAAGUGCGAUUAUGACAUUCACACACCCCAUUACGUUGCGGUGUGCCAAGCGGCGUCAGUUGUGAAACGAUUCCACACUUCCUUAGGUGUGUGCCAAACUCGUGACUCAAAUAUUCUCCUCCACAAUCAGAUCGUAGACAUUUAAUUUUUUCUGUCACGUUGAUUCUCAACCUCACUCUGAAAUUCCUUGAACUUUUCAAACGUCUCAGAUUUGUGCUUCAUCAAGUAGAUAUACCCAUACCUACUCAAAUCAUCGGUGAGAGUGAGAACAUAACGAUAACCACCGCGAGCUUCAACGUUCAUUGGACCACACACAUCAGUAUGUAUUAUUUCCAAUAAGUCGGUUGCUCUCUCCAUUAUUCCUGAGAAUGGAGUCUUAGUCAUCUUGCCCAUGAGGCACAGUUCGCAUGUGUAAAAUGAUUCAAAGUCAAGAGACUCUAAUAGUCCAUCAAUAUGGAGCUUCUUCAUGCGCUUAACGCCGAUAUGACCAAGGCGGCAGUGCCACAAGUAUGUGGGACUGUCAUUAUCAACUUUACAUCUUUUGGUACUCACACUAUGAAUAUGUGUAACAUCACGAUCGAGAUUCAUCAAGAAUAAACCAUUCANNNNNNNNNNNNNNNNNNNNNNNNNNNNNNNNNNNNNNNNNNNNNNNNNNNNNNNNNNNNNNNNNNNNNNNNNNNNNNNNNNNNNNNNNNNNNNNNNNNNAGGUUGACUCGACGAGCUUAGCAUGUACAGACAUGACCUCGAAUACAAGAGACCGAAAGGUCGAACAUGAGUCGUAUGGUUGAAUACGAUCAGCAUGAAGUUGCUCACCAUGGUGACUAGUCCGUCUCACGUGAUGAUCGGACACGGGUUAGUCAACAUGGAUCAUGUAUCACUUAGAUGACUAGAGGGAUGUCGAUUUAAGUGGGAGUUCAUACUUAAUUUGAUUAAAUGAAAUUAAUUGUCAUGAACUUAGUCUAAAAGUUGUCUUUAUAAAUAUUGUAGAUGUCCAACGUCAACCUCAAUUUCAACGCAUUCCUAGAGAAAAACAAGCUGAAAGAUGAUGGUAGCAACUAUGCGGACUGGGUUUGCAACUUGAAGCUCAUCCUCGAAGCAGCUAAAAAGGCUUAUGUCCUUAAUGCGCCGCUAGGUGACCCUCCCGCUCCCGCAGCAGCCCAGGACAUUCUGAACGUCUGGCAAACGCGGAGUGAUGACUACUCUCUGGUCAGGUGUGGCAUGUUAUACAGUUUAGAAACGGGGCUCCAAAGGCGUUUUGAGCAACAUGGGGCAUAUGAGAUGUUCCAGGAGCUACAGCUAGUUUUUCAAGCUCAUGCCCGUGUCGAGAGAUAUGAAGUCUCCGACAAGUUCUUCAGCUGUAAGAUGGAGGAGAACAGUUCUGUCAGUGAGCACAUACUCAAAAUGUCUGGGUUACACGGUCGUCUGACUUCACUUGGAGUCGAACUUCCGGAUGAUGCUAUUAUUGACAGAAUCCUCCAGUCUCUCCCACCAAGCUACAAAGGCUUUGUGCUUAACUACAAUAUGCAAGGGAUGGAGAAGACCAUUCCCGAGUUGUACUCGCUGCUCAACUCUGCAGAAGUAGAAAUCAAGAAAGAGCAUCAAGUCUUGAUGGUCAACAAGACCACUAGUUUCAAGAAAGGCAAGGGUAAGAAGAACUUCAAGAAAGACGGCCAAGCUGUUGCCGCGCCCGGUAAGCCAGAUGCCGGGAAGAAGAAAAAGAACGGACCCAAGCCUGAGACUGAGUGCUUCUAUUGCAAGGGAAAGGGUCACUNNNNNNNNNNNNNNNNNNNNNNNNNNNNNNNNNNNNNNNNNNNNNNNNNNNNNNNNNNNNNNNNNNNNNNNNNNNNNNNNNNNNNNNNNNNNNNNNNNNNUCUCUCCUACUCUAGUCGGAUUGGAUUUGAUGAAAAGGGUCCUUAUGAAGGGUAAAUAGCUUUGGCAUAUAAUCGUUGUGGCUGUCACGUAGGUAAGAAGGCGUUCUUGCUAGAAACCCAAAUCAGCCACGUAAAACUUGCAACAACAAUUAGAGGACGUCUAACUUGUUUUUGCAGGGUUUGACAUGUGAUGUGAUAUGGCCAAAGUUGUGAUGUUGCAUGUAUAAUGUAUGAGAUGAUCAUGUUAUUGUAAUAGGUUUCACGACUUGCAUGUCGAUGAGUAUGACAACCGGCAGGAGCCAUAGGAGUUGUCUUAAUUUAUUGUAUGAGAUGCAACGCCAUGUGCUUACUACUUUUACUUCAUUGCUAACAGUUAGCUAUAGUAGUAGUGAUAGUAGUAGUUGGCGUGACGACAUCACAGAGACACGAUGAUGGAGAUCAUGAUGAUGGAGAUCAUGGUGUCACGCUGGUGACGAUGAUGAUCAUGCGAUGCCUGAAGAUGGAGAUCGAAAGAGCAAAGAUGAUAAUGGCCAUAUCAUGUCACUAUAUGAUUGCAUUGUGAUGUUUAUCAUGUUUUACAUCUUAUUGCUUAAAACGACGGUAGCAUAAUAAGAUGAUCCCUCUUAAAAUUUCAAGAACGUAUUCCCCUAAGUGUGCACCGUUGCGAAGGUUCAUUGUCUCGAAGCACCACGUGAUGAUCGGGUGUGAUAGAUUCUAACAUUCGCAUACAACCGGUGUAAGCCAGAUUUACACACGCGAAACACCUAGGUUGACUCGACGAGCUUAGCAUGUACAGACAUGACCUCGAAUACAAGAGACCGAAAGGUCGAACAUGACUCGUAUGGUUGAAUACGAUCAGCAUGCAGUUGCUCACCAUGGUGACUAGUCCGUCUCACGUGAUGAUCGGACACGGGUUAGUCAACAUGGAUCAUGUAUCACUUAGAUGACUAGAGGGAUGUCGAUUUAAGUGGGAGUUCAUACUUAAUUUGAUUAAAUGAAAUUAAUUGUCAUGAACUUAGUCUAAAAGUUGUCUUUAUAAAUAUUGUAGAUGUCCAACGUCAACCUCAAUUUCAACGCAUUCCUAGAGAAAAACAAGCUGAAAGAUGAUGGUAGCAACUAUGCGGACUGGGUUNNNNNNNNNNNNNNNNNNNNNNNNNNNNNNNNNNNNNNNNNNNNNNNNNNNNNNNNNNNNNNNNNNNNNNNNNNNNNNNNNNNNNNNNNNNNNNNNNNNNAAUACCCAGGAGCUACUACGAGCGCUGGUAAGGUACACAUCAAUAACAUGUAUAUCACAUAUACCUUUAACGUUGCCGGCCUUCUUGUCCGCUAAGUAUUUGGGGCAGUUCCGCUUCCAGUGACCCUUUCCCUUGCAAUAGAAGCACUCAGUCUCAGGCUUGGGUCCGUUCUUUUUCUUCUUCCCGGCAUCUGGCUUACCGGGCGCGGCAACAGCUUGGCCGUCUUUCUUGAAGUUCUUCUUACCCUUGCCUUUCUUGAAACUAGUGGUCUUGUUGACCAUCAAAACUUGAUGCUCUUUCUUGAUUUCUACUUCUGCAGAAUUGAGCACCGAGUACAACUCGGGAAUGGUCUUCUCCAUCCCUUGCAUGUUGUAGUUAAGCACAAAGCCUUUGUAGCUUGGUGGGAGAGACUGGAGGAUUCUGUCAAUUAUAGCAUCAUCCGGAAGUUCGACUCCAAGUGAAGUCAGACGACCGUGUAACCCAGACAUUUUGAGUAUGUGCUCACUGACAGAACUGUUCUCUUCCAUCUUACAGCUAAAGAACUUGUCGGAGACUUCAUAUCUCUCGGCACGGGCAUGAGCUUGAAAAACUAGCUUCAUCUCCUGGAACAUCUCAUAUGCCUCAUGUUGCUCAAAACGCCUUUGGAGCCCCGUUUCUAAACUGUAUAACAUGCUACACCUAACCAGAGAGUAGUCAUCACUCCGCGUUUUCCAGACGUUCAGAAUGUCCUGGGCUGCUGCGGGAGCGGGAGGGUCACCUAGCGGCGCAUCAAGGACAUAAGCCUUUUUAGCUGCUUCAAGGACGAGCUUCAAGUUGCGAACCCAGUCCGCAUAGUUGCUACCAUCAUCUUUCAGCUUGUUUUUCUCUAGGAAUGCGUUGAAAUUGAGGUUGACGUUGGACAUCUACAAUAUUUAUAAAGACAACUUUUAGACUAAGUUCAUGACAAUUAAGUUCAUUUAAUCAAAUUAAAUAUGAACUCCCACUUAAAUCGACAUCCCUCUAGUCAUCUAAGUGAUACAUGAUCCAUGUUGACUAACCCGUGUCCGAUCAUCACGUGAGACGGACUAGUCACCAUGGUGAGCAACUCCAUGCUGAUCGUAUUCAACCAUACGAAUCAUGUUCGACCUUUCGGUCUCUUGUAUUCGAGGUCAUGUCUGUACAUGCUAAGCUCGUCGAGUCAACCUNNNNNNNNNNNNNNNNNNNNNNNNNNNNNNNNNNNNNNNNNNNNNNNNNNNNNNNNNNNNNNNNNNNNNNNNNNNNNNNNNNNNNNNNNNNNNNNNNNNNGCGGAGACUGGCCAAGGACGAGGUGACGAUGCGCGUCGGGAAUGGUUCAAAGGUCGAUGUGAUCGCCGUCAGCACGCUGCCUCUACAUCUACCGUCGGGAUUAGUUUUAAACCUUAAUAAUUGUUAUUUAGUACCAGCUUUAAGCAUGAACAUUGUAUCAGGGUCUUGCUUAAUGCGAGACGGCUACUCAUUUAAGUCAGAGAAUAAUGGUUGUUCUAUUUAUAUGAGUGAUAUGUUUUAUGGUCAUGCUCCGCUGGUGAAUGGUUUAUUCUUGAUGAAUCUCGAUCGUGAUGUUACACAUAUUCAUAGUGUGAGUACCAAAAGAUGCAAAGUUGAUAAUGAUACUCCCACAUACUUGUGGCACUGCCGCCUUGGUCAUAUCGGCGUUAAGCGCAUGAAGAAGCUCCAUACUGAUGGACUAUUAGAGUCUCUUGACUUUGAAUCAUUUGACACAUGCGAACCGUGCCUCAUGGGCAAGAUGACUAAGACUCCAUUCUCAGGAAUAAUGGAGAGAGCAACCGACUUAUUGGAAAUAAUACAUAUUGAUGUGUGUGGUCCAAUGAACGUUGAAGCUCGCGGUGGUUAUCGUUAUGUUCUCACUCUCACCGAUGAUUUGAGUAGGUAUGGGUAUAUCUACUUGAUGAAGCACAAAUCUGAGACGUUUGAAAAGUUCAAGGAAUUUCAGAGUGAGGUUGAGAAUCAACGUGACAGAAAAAUUAAAUGUCUACGAUCUGAUCGUGGAGGAGAAUAUUUGAGUCACGAGUUUGGCACACACCUAAGGAAGUGUGGAAUCGUUUCACAACUGACGCCGCCUGGCACACCGCAGCGCAACGGAGUGUCUGAACGUCGUAAUCGCACUUUAUUAGAUAUGGUACGAUCUAUGAUGUCUCUCACCGACUUACCGCUAUCAUUUUGGGGAUACGCAUUAGAAACUGCAGCAUUCACUUUAAAUAGGGCACCGUCUAAAUCCGUUGAGACGACACCGUAUGAACUAUGGUUUGGCAAGAAACCUAAGUUGUCGUUUCUUAAAGUUUGGGGCUGCGAUGCUUAUGUGAAGAAACUUCAACUAGAAAAGCUCCAACCCAAAGAGGAGAAAUGCGUAUUCAUAGGAUACCCUAAGGAAACUAUUGGGUAUACCUUCUAUCUUAGAUCCGAAGGUAAAACCUUUGUUGCCAAGAACGGAUCCUUUCUAGAGAAAGAGUUUCUCUCGAAAGAAGUAAGUGGGAGGAAGGUAAAACUUGAUGAGGUAAUUGCACCCCCUCUCGAACAGGAAAGUAGCGCAGCGCGGGAAGUUGUUCCUGUGGCGCCUAUACCGAAUGAAGAGGAAGUUAAUGAUGAUGAUCAUGAAGCUUCGGAUCAAGUUACUACUGAACCGCGAAGGUCCACAAGGGCACGCUCCGCACCAGAGUGGUACGGCAACCCUGUGAUGGAAAUCAUGUUGUUAGACAAUGGUGAGCCUUCGAACUAUGAAGAAGCAAUGGCGGGCCCGGAUUCCAACAAAUGGCUUGAGGCUAUGAAAUCCGAGAUAGGAUCCAUGUAUGAGAACAAAGUAUGGACUUUGGUGGACUUGCCCGAUGACCGGCGAGCCAUAGAAAAUAAAUGGAUCUUCAAGAAGAAGACUGAUGCAAACGGUAAUGUAACCGUUUACAAAGCUCGACUUGUCGCAAAGGGUUUUCGACAAAUUCAAGGAGUUGACUACGAAGAGGCUUUCUCUCCCGUAGCGAAGCUGAAAUCAGUUCGAAUCAUGUUAGCAAUUGCCGCCUUUUAUGAUUAUGAAAUUUGGGAAAUGGACGUCAAAACAGCGUUCCUUAACGGGAACCUUAAGGAAGAGUUGUAUAUGAUGCAACCAGAAGGUUUUGUCGACCCUAAGGGUGCUAACAAAGUGUGCAAGCUCCAGCGCUCCAUCUAUGGGCUGGUGCAAGCAUCUCGGAGUUGGAACAUUCGCUUUAAUGAGGUAAUUAAAGCGUUUGGGUUCAUACAGGUUUACGGAGAAACCUGUCUGUACAAGAAAGUGAGUGGGAGCUCUGUAGCUUUCCUCAUACUAUAUGUGGAUGACAUAUUAUUGAUGGGGAAUAAUAUAGAGAUGUUGGAGAGCAUAAAGGCCUAUUUGAACAAGAGUUUUUCAAUGAAGGACCUUGGAGAAGCUGCAUACAUAUUAGGCAUCAAGAUCUAUAGAGAUAGAUCGAGACGCCUCAUAGGUCUUUCGUAAAGUACAUACCUUGACAAGAUAUUGAAGAAGUUCAAUAUGGAAAACUCAAAGAAAGGGUCAUUGCCAGUUUUGCAAGGUAUGAGAUUGAGUAAGACUCAGUCGCCGACCACGGCAGUAGAUAGAGAGAAGAUGAGUUAUGUCCCCUACGCUUCAGCCGUGGGCUCUCUAAUGUAUGCCAUGUUGUGUACCAGACCUGAUAUAAACCUUGCCAUAAGUUUGGUAGGGAGGUACCAAAGUAAUCCCGGUACGGAACACUCGACAGCGGUCAAGAAUAUCCUUAAGUACCUGAAAAGGACUAAGGAAAUAUUUCUCGUUUAUGGAGGUGACGAAGAGCUCGUCGUAAAGGGUUACGUCGACGCUAGCUUCGACAUAGAUCCGGAUGACUCUAAGUCACAGACCGGAUACGUAUAUGUGUUGAAUGGUGGGGCAGUGAGCUGGUGCAACAGCAAGCAAGAAGUCGUGGCAGCAUCUACAUGUGAAGCGGAGUACAUAGCUGCUUCAGAAGCGGCUCAUGAAGGAAUUUGGAUGAAGGAGCUCAUCACUGACCUUGGAGUGGUUCCAAGCGCGUCGGGUCCCAUGACACUCUUCUGUGAUAACACUGGAGCCAUUGCCAUAGCCAAGGAGCCCAGGUUUCACUGAAAGACGAAGCACAUCAAGCGCCGCUACAACUCCAUCCAGGACCAUGUCCAGAGUGGAGUGAUAGAUAUUUGUAAAGUACACACGGAUCUGAAUAUUGCAGACCCGUUGACUAAACCUCUUCCACGAGCAAAACAUGAUCAACACCAUAAUGCUAUGGGUGUUCGAUACAUCACAAUGUAACUAGAUUAUUGACUCUAGUGCAAGUGGGAGACUGUUGGAAAUAUGCCCUAGAGGCAAUAAUAAAAUGGUUAUUAUCAUAUUUCCUCGUUCAUGAUAAUCGUCUAUUGUUCAUGCUAUAAUUGUAUUAACAGGAAACAGUAAUACAUGUGUGAAUAAAUAGAUCACAAUGUGUCCCUAGGAAGCCUCUAGUUGGCUAGCUCGUUAGUCAAUAGAUGAUCAUGGUUUCCUGAUCAUGGGCAUUAGAUGUCAUUGAUAACGGGAUCACAUCAGUGGGAGAAUGAUGUGAUGGACAAGACCCAAUCCUAAGCCUAGCACUAGAUCGUAUUGUUCGUAUGCUAAUGCUUUUCUAAUGUCAAGUAUCUUUUCCUUCGACCGUGAGAUUGUGCAACUCCCAGAUGCCGUAGGAGUGCUUUGGGUGUAUCAAACGUCACAACGUAACUGGGUGACUAUAAAGGUGCACUACGGGUAGGGGGGGGGGGGGGGGUUGGGUUGGUACGAAUCGAGAUCGGGAUUUGUCACUCCGUGUGACGGAGAGGUAUCUCUGGGCCCACUCGGUAGAACAUCAUCAUGAGCUCAAUGUGACUAAGGAGUUAGUCACACGAUGAUGUGCUACGGAACGAGUAAAGAGACUUACCGGUAACGAGAUUGAACAAGGUAUAGGUAUACCGACGAUCGAAUCUCGGGCAAGUUCUAUACCGACAGACANNNNNNNNNNNNNNNNNNNNNNNNNNNNNNNNNNNNNNNNNNNNNNNNNNNNNNNNNNNNNNNNNNNNNNNNNNNNNNNNNNNNNNNNNNNNNNNNNNNNGGGGGGGGGGGAGGGUGUUAGAUUUGUAUUGCCCCUUUUUUGUAUAUCCCCAUUAUAUAAGGGGUUUCUACCACUUUUACCAUAUGUAUAUAUAUUGGCCUUUGGCCCCUGUGAAUAUUUGCUCAUUAUCUAACAGAUCCAACACAAGGUUGGGUCGAAGCUAGUUUAUAUCUGGGACGUUACACCAACCUCUCAAGCCAAUCCAACAUUGCAGACAGAUUUAUGAUACACUUCCUUUUCACGAGCCCGAGGCAAUGUACCUAUGUCAAAAAAAGUAGGAGUUCGAGGCAAUGUACCUAAUACAAACUGUGAAGCCUUCCCACCUAGGCUAUACAUGAGGUCCUUGAGAUGCUCUAUAAGAUAUCGGUUAAAAGAGAAAACGUCCAAAAUAAGAGAAAUAUAACUAUAUUUUUUUUGUAUUUGUCGCUUCAAAGGAUCAGUAUGUUGGACAAGAAGAGAAGCACUGAAGUAGCAUCACUCAUCAUCAAGGUCAAAAUCGUUGUCCGAUGCGCACUCGAGAUAUGAACCAAUCGACUUGCGGAAGAUGAUGAAAGACUUGUCAUCCUGUGAAAAAAGAAUGCAUUAUUUUGCAGGAAGAGGUGUUUCAAGCCAUGGAACAAAAAAAACUGGCUGGUCAUUCAGCUUUAGGCCUGACGGGUAGCUAAAAAUGAAGUCUAAGAAAUGCAAGCAGUUGUGAAUUUUGCCACACCUGCUUCAUCCUUUUCAGUGAUGGUUUGGCAUUUGUUAUCUUAUCUGAUAAGGUGUCACCAUGUUCUGACAAUGUAGCCGUCUCCUCCCCUGUUUGAAGGAUUUGAGUGUAAGAGCAGCAUAUUUCCAUCCAAGGGAAAUAAUGAAUCCUCUAGCUACUUACUUUGAUAUUCAUACUGCUCAAGCAGUUUCUUUUUCUCAACUUCAAUUUGUGAGGAUAGAUCUGCAUAAUAGGACAUGUAACAAGUCAAAUAAGAGCCAAAUAUUUUUGCAGAUUCAAUGAGAUCUGAACGUCUUUUAUGGGAACAUCAUCCAAAUAAUGCUGAGUCGCUAAUAAGCAGUAGCCAAGCAAUGCAUAUUUAGAAACAACACACAUAAUUUGAAUACAAGUGUCAUGUAGAUUCUAUUUGCAUCAAAACCAGGUAUCUCAAUAUUUUUUCUAAAGAUAAGAAUCACAGCUCAUACGUAGUAGCCGAUUACACCAAAUGAGAAACAACCAUCACACGUCACAAUGCCCUAAAAUCCUAGAUAGACCUGGAUAGAAGCACAUGAUAUACUUGUGAAAAUGACAACCAGCUCUUAUUUGACAUACCUUUGAAGGUUUGUAAGUGUGCAUCAUUUUCUUCGCAGAACAUUUCAUAUGUUUCCUGAAGCUUGGUGUACUCUUCGUUCAAUGAACUUUCACACUGCUAAUAGUGCAAAUUACACGCCAUAAUUCAAUCUUAGGCAAAUCAGCAAGUAAGUCGACAAUUCCAAAGAAUUGUAAACUGUGUACCUCUUUCGAAGUGCUUGACAGUACUUUCAGCAAAUUCUGCCUGCACAUGCAAAUAUAACAGUGACACUACGUUCUAAAUAAAAACGAACAAGCUUCCUUUUCUGACAGAACUGGUUUCAGGCGUAAUUGUUCAUGCAGGCAUCGUUUCACAGUUCACAAGCAAGUGAGUUACCUUUCCUUCUCAAACUUGGACUUGGUAUCUUCAAGCAUAGUCUGAAUAUUGGCUGCAACACUGUCAGGUUUAGAAAAGUAAAGGAAUAAACAGGGUAAGAAGAAGGUAAAAGAAUAAUGAUCAGCAACAUUAUGCGCUUCAAACUUCACAGUUCAGUCAGCGGAGUCCCUGUUAGUCCACAUGUUAUAAUUUUCGGCUUCUUUUCCUCCCCGAUGCCUGUGUAAAUAAUUCUUUGUAAUAGUUCUGAGAAGUUUAUAGAAAUGUUCAGGCUGGCUUUGCCGGCCGUAGUUCUGAAAAUCAACUCACCCGAACAAAGCCACACCAUGACAUAAGUACAAAACAUGAAUCCGGGAACCCAUCAAAUUAAUAUGUCCAUUUUCCUCGCAUCACUCACAAUGCAUAUCGCUCCGCAUAAUAUACAAAAACUGACAUAUCACCGAACGAACCUAGUUCCUGCAUUAAUCACAGAAACAGCCGAGUGGACGCAUUGCAGGAUUGCAAACGUGCAACAUUUAUUUGUAUCCCUCCCAGUGACCAUGAACUGUAAGUUUUCCACACAAAUCCGCCAGCACGAAAUGCAUCAUAAGAAGCUGCUAGGAUAGCAUACGCCGAUCCCAAUUUUUUUGCACGCUAGCACAUAGCGAGAUAAGAGAAAAUUUAGAGGUGCAAGUGCAACCGAAAGAACACUGUUCUCCGCACCUGGCGAUGAUCUGCUCGCACAUCUUCUGGCCAGCCUUGUUGGUCCCGCCCUUGAUCAACCGCAGCAGGCACGCGAUCUGCCUCAAGUCGCUGCGCCCGCCACAAAAGUAGCCAUCACGGAGUUAAAGCGAGAAGGAAUUAGAAACGGGAGACACCGAAUCGAAGAGGAAAAGCUCGAAAUCAGAUGUGCGGCACCUGACGAAAUCGCCGUCAGAUUCCGAGCCGGAGCUGGAGCCGGAAUCGGAACCGGAGCCGAAAUCCACGGGGUGGCGCGGCCUCUUCGACGACCGCAGAGCCUCUUCACCCAGGGACAUCCUCCUUCCGCCGCCGGGACUCGCCGCGGGCCGCAUCGCUGGUCGACGAGCGUAGUGCAGCGCAAUUCGAAAUUUGGAGGGGGAGCGAGAGGGUAGUGAUGUAAUACUGGCAAAAUUUUGGUGGCCCACUCACAGUAUUGGCUUUUGUAAGGGAAAGUGUUCGUGCGCGCAAGGCUACGAGCAACUAGUUCCUCCUCUUGUAAUUUUUUUUUCCUUCGACGCGUCCGUUGAAGUGUUCGGCCGGUCGCGUUCCUUCCUCACGUUUUUCUUCCACCUUUUCCUUUUCCCCUCCCGCGCACACUCGGAUUUUUUCACUGUUUUAACCUUUUUUCUAAANNNNNNCACAAAAUGAACCAGAUUUGAAACCAUUUCACGAUCUGACCCUUUUAAAAACGCCACAAGCCGUGGCGUUGCUNNNNNNNNNNNNNNNNNNNNNNNNNNNNNNNNNNNNNNNNNNNNNNNNNNNNNNNNNNNNNNNNNNNNNNNNNNNNNNNNNNNNNNNNNNNNNNNNNNNNUGGACAAGAAUACAUGGAGUUACUCAAGCCAUUGAAUCAUUUGACUUUGUUUUCAAUCUUCACUUGAUGCUUGUUAUUCUUGGCUAUACAAAUGAGUUGUCCAAAUCUUUGCAAAAGAGAGAUCAAGAUACUAUUAAUGCAGUGGCACUUGUUAGUUUGGCAAAGAGUAGAAUGCGACACAUGAGGUGUCAUGGUUAGGAAGAAUUUCUUGCAAAGCUAACCCUAUUUUGCCAGAAACAUGACAUUCAAGUUCCUUUGUGGGAGGAUACUUAUGCAGGGGCAGAAUUAGCAUGGGUUCACGUCUAGGGCCAAAUUAGCUUCAGUGGUGUAUUUUAGAGAUUUUUUGUACUUAGUAAGUAGGUAUUACAAAGACUAUUGUCACUACACCUAGGGCUAUAGCCCCAUUUUCCCUAGGCCUGAUUCCAACAUUGUACUUAUGAGCAUCAUGGAAUAUCACGUUGGUAUAAUGAAGUUCAAACAAAUGAUGAUCGUUAUAAAAGAGAAGUAUAUCUUGGUGUCAUUGAUCAAACCAUUCUAUCCCAUGGACAUAUCAAGCACGGAUUUGAUAAGGCUAGAAUUUCAACUUGCUACUUUUAUUGAUGAUACGAGACAAGAUGAUAUUGGUGAGCUCUCUAUUUUACUUGUUGCAACAAAGAAUCAUAUUCUCUAUGAUUUGGUCUACUUACUCAUCAAAUUGAUAUUGAUUUUACCGAUGGCAACAACGAGUGUUGAAAGGGUAUUUUCUGCAAUGAAUCUAGUGAAAAAUAAAUUAAGGACUAGUAUGGGUGAUGAUCGUUUGGUGACAAUUAUUAAGCGAGAUGUGUUCAUGAAAGUAAAUGAAGAUGACAUAGUUGAUGCUUUCAUGACAAUGCAACGACGUAGAGUUACCUAGUGUUGUAAUUUUCUACUUCUGUUACUUUCAUGUAAGUCUUUUCUAUUGUAACUGGGCACAUUUGAAAUACAUUUUAUGUACUAAAUGGUUGUGAGAUUUCAAUUGAGCUAUUUAUGUUACUCAUUUGACAUAUUUUGAUACAUUUGGAUUAGGUAGGAAAAAAAUAGAGUGCGCAUGCCCUUUAUUUUAUUCCUGGGUACCCACACAAUGGAACGCAAAAAUAUCCAGCCGAGCGAGCAGUAAAUCCACCAUACGGGAUGUGCAUACUUAAUACUCCUACAUUGCAACAAAUAAUCGUGAAAAAAAAUGGAAAAAGAAACCAUAUGCGAUCAGGCACAUGACGAAGGAAGGGUCACAUGAAUGAAGAAGAGAGAAAAGCCACAUAUCGACCCGAAUAGCGAAGUGUGGGAGCCGCGAUGGCGGGCACUGGCAGCCAUACAUUGGGCUAUCCAAAAUCUCAUCUCUCGCCCAAUCCCGGCCUCACGAUCUCAAUUCUCACCCCGCGUGCACCACAAGCUCCAAUCCCCUAACUCGUAUAUACAGCCACGCCCGCCUCACCGUCCUUGAUCUUCCCCCCUAUCUGAUCGGAUCCUUUGGACAUGGCGUCGCCCAUGCUCUCCACGGCCAUGGCGCCACUCCAGGUAUUGCUCGUGUUCCAUUUCCAUUCCAUGCUUGCGUAGUAGUACAGUUCUUCCAUGUUUGUGACGCGCGGUGGUUAUGUAACUGGACUGCCAUGCAUCCUCUGUCGAUCCAGGGGGGCAUGCUGGAGUUCUCCGGGCUGAGGAGCUCGUCGUCGCUGCCGCUCCGGCGGAAUGCCACCUCCGACGACUUCAUGUCCGCCGUCUCCUUCAGGACAUACGCGGUAUGAUAUGAAUAUGAUGGGCGGAAUGUGGCUGUCACCUAGGAGUACGUAGCUCGCUUGGUCGCAUGCCAUGAGACAUGAGCGGCGCGUGGUACGGUGGUUGCAGGUGAGCACGAGCGGCGGGUCGCGGAAGGCGCCGACGGAGGCGAAGCUCAAGGUGGCGAUCAACGGGUUCGGGCGCAUCGGGCGCAACUUCCUGCGGUGCUGGCACGGGCGCGGCGACAGCUCGCCGCUGGAGGUGAUCGCCAUCAACGACACCGGAGGCGUGAAGCAGGCGUCCCACCUCCUCAAGUACGACUCCACGCUGGGCAUCUUCGACGCGGACGUCAAGCCCGUGGGCGACAACGCCAUCUCCGUCGACGGCAAGGUGAUCAAGGUCGUGUCCGACCGCAACCCCUCCAACCUGCCGUGGGGCGAGAUGGGCAUCGACCUCGUCAUCGAGGGCACCGGCGUCUUCGUCGACCGCGCCGGCGCGGGCAAGCAUCUCGAGGCCGGAGCCAAGAAGGUGCUCAUCACCGCGCCCGGCAAGGGCGACAUCCCCACCUACGUCUGCGGCGUCAACGCCGACCUCUACACCCACGCCGACACCAUCAUCAGCAACGCCUCAUGCACCACCAACUGCCUCGCCCCCUUCGUCAAGGUCCUCGACCAAAAGUUCGGUACGUGCCCGUCUCCCUCCCUCUCUCUCUCUCUCAACUGAAUCAACUUGUUGACGAUGACUAAUGGCGGCGGUGGCAAUGGCGCAGGCAUCAUCAAGGGAACCAUGACCACAACCCACUCGUACACCGGCGACCAGAGGCUGCUCGACGCGAGCCACCGCGACCUGCGCCGUGCCCGCGCCGCCGCCCUCAACAUAGUGCCGACCUCCACCGGCGCGGCCAAGGCCGUGGCGCUGGUGCUCCCCAACCUCAAGGGCAAGCUCAACGGGAUCGCGCUCCGGGUGCCCACCCCCAACGUGUCCGUCGUCGACCUCGUGGUGCAGGUCUCCAAGAAGACCCUCGCCGAGGAGGUGAACCAGGCGUUCCGCGACGCCGCCGCCAACGAGCUCAAGGGCAUCCUCGACGUCUGCGACGAGCCCCUCGUGUCCGUCGACUUCAGGUGCUCCGACGUCUCCUCCACCAUCGACGCGUCGCUCAGCAUGGUCAUGGGAGACGACAUGGUCAAGGUCAUUGCAUGGUACGACAACGAGUGGGGUUACUCCCAGAGGGUCGUCGACCUCGCCGACAUCGUCGCCAACCAAUGGAAGUGAACGCCCCCCCACAGCGGCAUUGCCCUGUCAAGUGACUCCUCUCGAAAUUUUCCCCAGCCGUCGUCACGGAUGAUCGAUUCUUUGUAAUGAGAAUUCAAAGUAUCGAGCUCCCAACAC
This 28206-nucleotide long non-coding RNA is filed under the name Hordeum vulgare. RNAcentral's name for it is "long non-coding RNA (HVUL_LNC020883)". Lineage: Eukaryota; Viridiplantae; Streptophyta; Magnoliopsida; Poales; Poaceae. The record is from RNAcentral.